UCCAGGCAAAUCCGGAUAAUCAAGGCUGAGGUGUGAUGACGAGGCACUACGGUGCUGAAGUAACAAAUGCCCUGCUUCCAGGAAAAGCCUCUAAGCAUCAGGUAACAUCAAAUCGUACCCCAAACCGACACAGGUGGUCAGGUAGAGAAUACCAAGGCGCUUGAGAGAACUCGGGUGAAGGAACUAGGCAAAAUGGUGCCGUAACUUCGGGAGAAGGCACGCUGGUGUGUAGGUGAAGUCCCUGCGGAUGGAGCUGAGACCAGUCGAAGAUACCAGCUGGCUGCAACUGUUUAUUAAAA
RNAcentral lists this ribosomal RNA (299 nucleotides) under Klebsiella pneumoniae. RNAcentral's name for it is "partial 23S ribosomal RNA". It matches the Rfam family "Bacterial large subunit ribosomal RNA", at positions 1531 to 1812 of the family's 2925-position model. The record is from RNAcentral. Lineage: Bacteria; Pseudomonadati; Pseudomonadota; Gammaproteobacteria; Enterobacterales; Enterobacteriaceae.